RNAcentral lists this ribosomal RNA (494 nucleotides) under uncultured bacterium. RNAcentral's name for it is "partial 16S ribosomal RNA". It matches the Rfam family "Bacterial small subunit ribosomal RNA", at positions 28 to 507 of the family's 1533-position model. The record is from RNAcentral.
GACGAACGCUGGCGGCGUGCUUAACACAUGCAAGUCGAACGGUGAAGCGCCUUCCUUUUUGGUGGGUGUGGAUGAGUGGCGAACGGGUGAGUAACACGUGAGUAACCUGCCCCCUUCUUCUGGAUAACCGCAUGAAAGUGUGGCUAAUACGGGAUAUUCUGGGUCUGUCGCAUGAUGGGUCUGGGAAAGAUAUUGGUUCGGUGGGGGAUGGGCUCGCGGCCUAUCAGCUUGUUGGUGGGGUGAUGGCCUACCAAGGCGGUGACGGGUAGCCGGCCUGAGAGGGUGGACGGUCACACUGGGACUGAGACCCGGCCCAGCCUCCUACGGGAGGCAGCAGUGGGGAAUAUUGCACAAUGGGCGCAAGCCUGAUGCAGCGACGCCGCGUGCGGGAUGGAGGCCUUCGGGUUGUGAACCUCUUUCGCCAGUGAAGCAGGCCUGCCUCGUUUGUGGGUGGGUUGACGGUAGCUGGAUAAGAAGCGCCGGCUAACUACGUG